UAAGCUUGAAUGCUGGUGUCCAUGGA
This 26-nucleotide non-coding RNA is filed under the name Mus musculus (house mouse). RNAcentral also lists the same sequence under 1 other name. Lineage: Eukaryota; Metazoa; Chordata; Mammalia; Rodentia; Muridae. The record is from RNAcentral.